Molecule: non-coding RNA, 44 nt
Organism: Anaerobacillus arseniciselenatis
Lineage: Bacteria; Bacillati; Bacillota; Bacilli; Caryophanales; Bacillaceae
Source: Rfam
UUCACGGCGACGUGAAAUCUGAAGGAAGCGAGCGGCAAACUUCC